This 794-nucleotide long non-coding RNA is filed under the name Androctonus crassicauda. Lineage: Eukaryota; Metazoa; Arthropoda; Arachnida; Scorpiones; Buthidae. The record is from RNAcentral.
CAUGAAGAAGAGCAGAGCCAGCUGAAUGAGGAACUUUGAGACUUGGAAAUUUCUAGAGGAAUGCAGAUUACAAGAUGUUUACCUUAUGACAAUAUACAGAAUUAAAUUGCUGAUCACAUCAAAAAAGUCCUGAGGAAUACAAAAAAAAGAUAUGCCUGAGAAUAGUCACCAUUGAUGGCAAAAUGAAAUAUUUUCAGACACUACAAGAAGUAGUACAUUAUAGAAGCAAAAUAAUACAUCUAGCAGAAGCAACACCAUUUUUAGAAAAAAUAGAGGAUGAGACGAAAAGCCUGAGAAAUAUCUUAAGGAUAAGAUAUAUAAAGAAAAUCAAAUGGAUUUUUAAAUGUCAAUUUCAGACACAUGUAAAAAUGCAUGUUAAAUUGGACCAAACAAUAACCAUAAUUGUAAACAUGAAUGUACUAACACAAAGCAGAUCCUUAUGAAAGGUCCAUCCUGUGCUAUGCUAACGAAUAGCUCCAUCGUAGAUGACAUACCAGUAAUAGAAGACAUGCUACAUAAUAUGGAUGAGCUUGAGGAAGAUAGAAUUAAAUAGACAUAUUUGAACCAAAGAAUGAGCAUUAGGCAUAACAGAAAGGAGAAGCUUAAUACUGAUGACAUGCAGUUGCUUAAAAAUAAUCCACAUAUUUUUAAUAAUAUAAUCUAAAAGAAACAGGUAUUUUUAGAAAUAAAUAUGGCAUAUCUAGCUAUUAUCAUAGGACGUUGUGGUUGCAUUGUCCUUGGUACAAAAUAGUCGAUCCAAGACAUGAUGGAAAUAGAUUUUGUUAAAUGUUUUU